RNAcentral lists this transfer RNA (73 nucleotides) under Mustela putorius furo (domestic ferret). It matches the Rfam family "tRNA". Rfam says of the family: Transfer RNA (tRNA) molecules are approximately 80 nucleotides in length. Their secondary structure includes four short double-helical elements and three loops (D, anti-codon, and T loops). Further hydrogen bonds mediate the characteristic L-shaped molecular structure. tRNAs have two regions of fundamental functional importance: the anti-codon, which is responsible for specific mRNA codon recognition, and the 3' end, to which the tRNAs corresponding amino acid is attached (by aminoacyl-tRNA synthetases). tRNAs cope with the degeneracy of the genetic code in two manners: having more than one tRNA (with a specific anti-codon) for a particular amino acid; and 'wobble' base-pairing, i.e. permitting non-standard base-pairing at the 3rd anti-codon position. The record is from Rfam by way of RNAcentral. Lineage: Eukaryota; Metazoa; Chordata; Mammalia; Carnivora; Mustelidae.
GCCUGACUGGCUCCAUCUGUAGAGCAUGUGACUCUUGAUCUCAGGGUUAUGAGUUCAAGCCCCAUGUUGGAUA